This 204-nucleotide long non-coding RNA is filed under the name Hordeum vulgare. RNAcentral's name for it is "long non-coding RNA (HVUL_LNC013638)". The record is from RNAcentral. Lineage: Eukaryota; Viridiplantae; Streptophyta; Magnoliopsida; Poales; Poaceae.
UGGAAAAUUCAUGAAUUUUUAAACCUGUAGAGACAUGUGAUGCAAGUUGUGUGGUAUUUUUUCAUAAUUUAAAAAGAUGGCUAAGUAUAUUAAUAGACUACUGUUCAUGGAUUGUUCUUCACAUGUCUACGAGUGUGGCCGGGGGGCUUCUAGGGGUAGCUAUGCCACCAGAUCUUGCGGUGCUUCCUCUUCUAUGUGUGAAAG